GAUGAAGAACGUAGCGAAAUGCGAUAAGUAAUGUGAAUUGCAGAAUUCAGUGAAUCAUCGAAUCUUUGAACGCACAUUGCGCCCCCUGGUAUUCCGGGGGGCAUGCCUGUUCGAGCGUCAUUACAACCCUCAAGCUCUGCUUGGUAUUGGGCCCCGCCAGUUCUGGCGGGCCCUAAAGUCAGUGGCGGUGCCUUCGGCUCCGAGCGUAGUAAUUCUUCUCGCUCUGGAGACCCGGUUGUGUGCUUGCCAACAACCCCCAAUUUUUUAAGGUUGACCUCGGAUCAGGUAGGGAUACCCGCUGAACUUAAGCAUAUCAAUAGCGGAGGA
Molecule: unclassified non-coding RNA, 327 nt
Filed under: soil metagenome
Description: partial contains 5.8S ribosomal RNA, internal transcribed spacer 2, and large subunit ribosomal RNA
Rfam family: 5.8S ribosomal RNA (bases 1-120)
Source: RNAcentral